Penaeus indicus is the source of this 407-nucleotide long non-coding RNA. RefSeq lists it as uncharacterized. The transcript is spliced from 2 exons. The record is from RefSeq and is a predicted model, not a curated record. NCBI's taxonomy places the organism in Eukaryota, Metazoa, Arthropoda, Malacostraca, Decapoda, Penaeidae.
CAAAAUCACGCUCCAAGGAUGCAACGCCCGACCCGCCUCCUCCUGGUGCUGGUGCUGCUGAGCGCGGCGGCCAUGUUGGUGGCGGACGCGGCGCCGCUGAAGGAGGAGGAAGCCAAGGAGCUGAGUGUGAAGUGUAUCUUAUGUACUCCUGACUGUCGCCCAUGCUACAAGCCGGACCAUAAUAACGUCUGUCGCCCUAUAUUCGGCUGCACUCCUUGACGUGGAACCUCCCGCGCCAAAAGCAACGUUUGUGGGUGUCUGGAUUUAACAAAUAUUUACUACGCGAGAGUCGGUAAUAAAUUUAUAAAGGAAGAAGAAGAAGGAGAAACAGAAGGGGAGGAUGUAUCAGUAGCAUGAUAGAUUUGUUACGAGGUAAUGGUAAUGGUCUAAUAAAGUUCUCAACCUUU